UUUUUAAUGAAUUUUUUAAUUUGCUCUGAAACUGGGCUAAAGUCCUAUUGUACUAGAUCUAUUGUACAGCAAAUUUUUUGAAAAUUGAAAAGGAGAGAAUAUAAUUUUUCACAUGCUUUUUUGUUGUGUAGCAAGUUUUUAUGAACUUUUUUAGUUUUUAAAAAAUCUGGCCUAUUCAUGAGUACCACUUCUUGAAAGGUUACACUGUAUCCUAUACACUCUUGAUGCUGGUGGUAGUGCUUGCAGUUUGAAUGUUAAACACCUUUACUAAUUGGUACGAGAGAGGGGAACAGACAGAAAGGUGGAUUUAAGUUCCUCUGUUGAUAAAAAGUUUAAUACUAAAUGAUACAUAACAAUUAAUUCAUAGUACAUAUAGAUUAUUAAUUGCUUAUUGUGCUUAUAUUCAACAGGAAGUGACUCAUUAUUAAAACAUGUAAAGUCCAGUCUUUUUUCAGUAACUAACAAGCCUUACAAGAAUGAUGUACUUUAGAUUUCAUUGGACUUUCUUCUUUAUUUUCUCUCUCCUACUUCAAAUAAUAAAUGGGAACUGGACAACACAGAUACCAGUAACUACAGUACCACCAACUACAAGUGGACUCUCCACUGCAGGCCUCAUUGGGAUUACAGUAG
Amphimedon queenslandica is the source of this 630-nucleotide long non-coding RNA. RefSeq lists it as uncharacterized. The transcript has 3 exons. Lineage: Eukaryota; Metazoa; Porifera; Demospongiae; Haplosclerida; Niphatidae. The record is from RefSeq and is a predicted model, not a curated record.